Molecule: unclassified non-coding RNA, 238 nt
Filed under: Hevea brasiliensis (rubber tree)
Lineage: Eukaryota; Viridiplantae; Streptophyta; Magnoliopsida; Malpighiales; Euphorbiaceae
Source: RNAcentral
GGCCAUCUCUGUUGGCAUCAGCAUAUCUCAUAUCACGGGUAGCUCUAAAACCAGGGUGCUUUGAACCCAGUUGAUGGAAAGCUUUCUCUAGAUCUUCCUUGCUCAGAAGAUUGUUAUGAUUUGCAUUGCAUUGCAAGAUAAUUUCCCUUAUCUGCUCCAGUUAGGUCACAGCUUCACGAUCAAAACAUUUUUCUUGAGUACCCAUUUUUGCAAAUUAAUGGGACCAGUCAGGGUUUGC